Molecule: unclassified non-coding RNA, 174 nt
Filed under: uncultured Inocybe
Lineage: Eukaryota; Fungi; Basidiomycota; Agaricomycetes; Agaricales; Cortinariaceae
Description: sequence contains ITS2
Source: RNAcentral
AUAUCUCAACCACACCAUGGUGGUGUGGCUUGGAAUUGGGGGUUUAUGCAGGCUCUUUCUUGUAGUCUGCUCCCCUGAAAUGCAUGAGUGGUCGAACCUCUGUUAGGUGUGAUAAUUAUCUGCAUCUGAUGGAAAGGUCUCAUGGCUGCUGCUAUACCUCGUUGGAGUUGAUAA